Molecule: ribosomal RNA, 467 nt
Filed under: uncultured bacterium
Lineage: Bacteria
Description: partial 16S ribosomal RNA
Rfam family: Bacterial small subunit ribosomal RNA
Source: RNAcentral
GACGAACGCUGGCGGCGUGCUUAACACAUGCAAGUCGAACGGAAAGGCCCUGCUUUUGUGGGGUGCUCGAGUGGCGAACGGGUGAGUAACACGUGAGUAACCUGCCCUUGACUUUGGGAUAACUUCAGGAAACUGGGGCUAAUACCGGAUAGGAGCUCCUGCUGCAUGGUGGGGGUUGGAAAGUUUCGGCGGUUGGGGAUGGACUCGCGGCUUAUCAGCUUGUUGGUGGGGUAGUGGCUUACCAAGGCUUUGACGGGUAGCCGGCCUGAGAGGGUGACCGGCCACAUGGGGACUGAGAUACGGCCCAGACCCCUAGGGGGGGCAGAGGGGGGGAAUUUUGCACAAGGGGCGGAAGCCUGAUGCAGAAACGCCGGGGGGGGGAUGACGGCCUUCGGGUUGUAAACCGCUUUCGCCUGGGACGAAGGGGGAGUGACGGUAAUGGGUAAAGAAGCACCGGCUAACUACGU